UGAACCUUUACAUAAAUGUGACACCUCACA
RNAcentral lists this non-coding RNA (30 nucleotides) under Mus musculus (house mouse). The record is from RNAcentral. Lineage: Eukaryota; Metazoa; Chordata; Mammalia; Rodentia; Muridae.